This 64-nucleotide transfer RNA is filed under the name Ochrobactrum quorumnocens. It matches the Rfam family "tRNA", at positions 6 to 65 of the family's 71-position model. From Rfam's summary of the family: Transfer RNA (tRNA) molecules are approximately 80 nucleotides in length. Their secondary structure includes four short double-helical elements and three loops (D, anti-codon, and T loops). Further hydrogen bonds mediate the characteristic L-shaped molecular structure. tRNAs have two regions of fundamental functional importance: the anti-codon, which is responsible for specific mRNA codon recognition, and the 3' end, to which the tRNAs corresponding amino acid is attached (by aminoacyl-tRNA synthetases). tRNAs cope with the degeneracy of the genetic code in two manners: having more than one tRNA (with a specific anti-codon) for a particular amino acid; and 'wobble' base-pairing, i.e. permitting non-standard base-pairing at the 3rd anti-codon position. Lineage: Bacteria; Pseudomonadati; Pseudomonadota; Alphaproteobacteria; Hyphomicrobiales; Brucellaceae. The record is from RNAcentral.
CCGUAGCUCAGCUGGAUAGAGCACCGGCCUUCUAAGCCGUAGGUCACUGGUUCGAAUCCAGUCG